GUAUUCACACCGACCCGGAUACGGCGCAGACCAUCAUUUCGGGCAUGGGCGAGUUACACCUGGAGAUCAUCGUCGAUCGCAUGAUGCGCGAGUUUAACGUCGGCGCGAACGUCGGAAAACCCCAGGUGGCCUAUAAGGAAACGAUCCGGAAAAAGGCCGACGCCGAAGGCAAGUACAUCCGCCAGACUGGCGGCCGCGGUCAAUACGGGCACGUUCGGAUAACCGCCGAGCCCAGUGAGGUUGGCGCCGGUUUCAUCUUCGAGAACGAAAUUGUGGGUGGGUCGGUUCCCCGGGAGUACAUCAAGCCUAUCGAG
Molecule: unclassified non-coding RNA, 314 nt
Filed under: uncultured bacterium
Lineage: Bacteria
Description: contains 16S-23S intergenic spacer region
Source: RNAcentral